UAAAAUAUUAAUUUGAUGAGGUUGUAUAGACCUCACUAUGUCAACAUUUGAAUAGUAAUAAGAAACAAGUUUUUAAAGAAUGCAUUACAUUAUAAUUGAAAUAAAAUAAACACAACCAAUGACAACAACAUGAACGUUUAUUAGAAGUUGUAGUCCAUGAUUAAUGAUAAAAAUUGCAUAAAUGAUCUUGUUGUCAAUCAAGCAUAUUUAUUUGAGCUAUAGAACCUACAAAGGAAAAAAUUGAUAUAAGAGUAAUAAUCAGUAACCAAUACAAAUAUAAAUUAUGUAUAAUUUGAAAAUGUUAAACAAACCUUAUAGAAACGCCAAUAACCCUUCGAAUUAGAUGAUCAAUAAACUGUUUGACGUCUUUUUAUGCUGCCAACAAUAAAAAGAAUAACCAUAUCAAUUUUCCUAUUAAUAAAAUUUAAAUUGAAAUUAAUUGUAAGAUAAAUCAGCACUUACAUGUCAAAUAUUAUCGAAGACAUCUUGAUACACGAUAUUGUGUGUGGUGUUAGAUACAACUCCUACUUUAUCUAUGAUGGGCAUCUUUAACCAUUUUCUAGAUUUAACUCUAGAAAGUGCAACAUGUAGCUGCCCAUGAGUAAAGACAUGCCUUGGCAAAUACAAUCUAACAAGAUAUAAAGAUUGCCCCUGACUUUUAUUUAAAGUCAUUGUAAAACAUAAAGUAACAGGGAAUUGUCUACGCUGAAAUUUGAAUGGAAUGUCAGAAUUAGAUGAAGUUAAAAAAUGUAAUUUAUUAAAAAAUAUAAUUUUUUUGUCAAUUAUUAAUAAUUAAUUGUCUAGUUGAUGGACUUUUUGGAUUGAUUACAGUAAUAAAUGAACGUAUUUAAGGUAUUAAAACCAAUUUGUAAUCACUAAUUUUAAAAAAUAAAUGAACUUAACGUUACCACUAAUUUUUCUAUUAUAAAGGAAAGAUUUAAAAGCAAUUAAAACUAAUUAAAAUUAUUUAAAGAAUAUAAUUAUUAAUGGUAUAAUUAAUUGAAAUUUUGACUGAGGAUUAAUGUGUAAUAAAUUUCUCAUAAUUCAACUCAAUUUAAUGUCUUUUUCAAAUCAUAUUUUUAUUAAAUAAUAAAUUGGGGCUCGAUUUUUUAAUUACGUGAUUUUUAAGGAAGAGAUUGACGAAAAAUUAAUGUAUUAGAAAAAAACGUUACAUACGUGAUUUUUAAUUUUUUUAUGAAUUAUGCAAUGUGGUAACUAAUUAGCAUUAAAUUAGUUCAUUAUUUCGGGCAUAAAUUGAUGAAAAAAUACAUAACUCUUUUAAAAAUAUUUUCAAUAAUAAAUUAUAAGAUAUCAUUCAGUUUAGAAUGAAUAAGAAAUAUGUUUCAUGAAUAACUAAUGAUUUGUAUUAUUUGUGAUUUAAUUUUGCCAUAAAUAAAUUCAGAAUUAAAAAAAUUUGAAAAAGUAAAGAAUAAUAAUUUAUCACUAAUUUUGUUAUAAUUAAGUUGAGAAUUAAAAGCAAUUAAAACUGAUUUUAGCAUAAAAAUGGUCGUAGUUAAUUUUGCUAGAAAUAUGUUUAGAAUUAAAAGCAGUUAAAAAUAAUUUAAUAAUAAUAAUUUCGUCAUUAAUUUUAUUAUAAAUAAGGAAAUGAAUUGAAUACAACUAAAAUUUGAUUAAAUAGCAAUAUUGUCGUGUUUUAUUUUGCUAUAAAUAAGUCAAGAAUUAAAAGCAAUUAAUUUUCCAUAAGAAAAUUCAGAAUUAAAAUCAAUUAAUACUUAACAAAUGCUUUGACAAAAUCAAAAAUUUAAAAUUAGAGUUAUUAACUAAUAUCGUCAUUAAUUUUAGUAUAAAUAUUGAAAUGAAUUAAAUAAAAUUAAAAUUUAUUAAAUGGAAAUAAUGUCGUGUUUUAUUUUCCUAUAAAUAAGUCAAGAAUUAAAAUCAAUUAAUUUUACCUUAAAUAAAUUCAGAAUUAAAAACAAUUAAUAUUUAAUAAAUGCUUUGACUUAAUAAAAAAUUUAAAAUUUGAACCACUAACCAAUGUGGUCAUUAAUUUUGCUAUAUAUAUGACAAUGAUUUGAGUACAAUUAAAUGUGAUUUAAUAGCAAUAACUUCAUGUUCUAUUUUGAUAUAAAUUAGUCAAGAAUUAAAAACAAUUAAUUUUUCCAUAAAUAAAUUUAGAAUAAAAAGCAAUUAAUAUUUAAUAAAUGCUUUGAAAAAAUAAAAAAAUUAAAAUUUGAAUCACUAACCAAUGUCGUCAUUUAUUUUUCUACAAAUAAGGAAUUAAAUUAAAUACAAUUAUAAUGAAUUAAAUAGAAAUAAUGUCUUGAUUCUAAUUUUGAAAAGAUACUAAAACUGAUUAAUUGAUUUCGUCAUCAUUUUCUUUUUUAUAAAUAAUAAAAAUGGAUAAAAUCCUAUUUUUUGCACUUAAUCCACAAAAAUUUAAAAUUAGUCAAGCUUUUUAAAGUACAAUUAAUUGAUCACUUUAGUAUCUUUUAAUAAUUCAUAAUUAAUAUGAAUUUUUAAAAUUGACCAAAAAGGGAAUUAAUAGGUGAGAAAGGAAAGAAAUACAUAAAGACAGGAAAGGUAAUUUAAAAGUGAGAAAGGAAAUAAAUUAAAUGACAAACGUAAAAAAAUGAUGAAGUAAUUGAGGGAAGAAGAAGAAUGGGUUUGACGAAAACAAAAACAAACAAAAUAUCAUUACAUGAAUCUAGAAAAAAAGCUAAAGUAGCAUAUAUUCACUAAAUUUGAAUGGACUUGUAUGUACAAUAUCACAUUAUAUAAUAAACGUGUUAUUCAAAUUUUAUAAUUUCCUUUAACAUGAGACAAAGUAUAGGUUUUGGGUUGUUCUUACAUAACGGCCUAAAAAUUUGCUCUGCCCAGCCGAAAUUUUUCAGAGGUAGGCUCCUCAGAAAAAUUGAAUUCCUCCAACACCUUUUUGCCAAUCCUAUUUCCAGAGGUUAAAAAAAUGUUCUCAACAUUUCCUAUUUCAAGAGACAUUUAACGCACAUGAUAUAUCACAUGAAACUUUCCUUUCUAAAAUCAAUCGUUAUGAGUGAAUAUUAAAGGGGGAGAAAAAAUCGAUUUUAACAUUAUAGACAAUAUUUUAGAAAAUAGAAUCUAGACUUCACUUGUGCAUAAGUAGUUCCAAACCAUGAUCUGGUAAUCAUCACCUGCAAUUAAAAAAACACUCAACUUAUUAAUAGUUAACGAAAAAAAUUCAGAUCUAACAGAUCGAUUGAAUGAAAAAUAGAGAAGAAUACCGAGAAUGAAUGUCAGAGGGAAAGAGAGGCUGAGAGUUAUGGAAAUCAAAUGAUGGAGAGAGAUUUAAAUUAUGGAGAAAGAAAUGAUGAAUUAGAGUCUUAAAUAGACUUUUUAAGAGAUUCA
This 3342-nucleotide long non-coding RNA is filed under the name Lotus japonicus. Its description in RNAcentral is "long non-coding RNA (LJAP_LNC002034)". Lineage: Eukaryota; Viridiplantae; Streptophyta; Magnoliopsida; Fabales; Fabaceae. The record is from RNAcentral.